GCAAGGAUGGACGUCGUUCUUAUUUUUCUCGUUUGUUUUCGUCCGUAGUCGGACCCUGGUCUUACUCUUGAUGAUUAUGUAAUGUACUGAUGCGACUCUGAUGUAGCUUGUGGCGAGUGUAAGCCAACUCUGUAUAUAUACCUCUUCCUUUCAGUACAUGUACUUGUAACGGUAUCCAUUCUUGCGACACGACGAGAUGCG
Molecule: long non-coding RNA, 201 nt
Filed under: Hordeum vulgare
Lineage: Eukaryota; Viridiplantae; Streptophyta; Magnoliopsida; Poales; Poaceae
Description: long non-coding RNA (HVUL_LNC016623)
Source: RNAcentral